GUGGGGAAUUUUGGACAAUGGGCGCAAGCCUGAUCCAGCAAUGCCGCGUGCAGGAUGAAGGCCUUCGGGUUGUAAACUGCUUUUGUACGGAACGAAAAGCCCUGGGUUAAUACCCUGGGGUCAUGACGGUACCGUAAGAAUAAGCACCGGCUAACUACGUGCCAGCAGCCGCGGUAAUACGUAGGGUGCGAGCGUUAAUCGGAAUUACUGGGCGUAAAGCGUGCGCAGGCGGUUUUGUAAGACAGAGGUGAAAUCCCCGGGCUCAACCUGGGAAAUGCCUUUGUGACUGCAAGGCUAGAGUACGGCAGAGGGGGAUGGAAUUCCGCGUGUAGCAGUGAAAUGCGUAGAUAUGCGGAGGAACACCGAUGGCGAAGGCAAUCCCCUGGGCCUGUACUGACGCUCAUGCACGAAAGCGUGGGGAGCAAACAGGAUUAGAUACCCCAGUAGUCC
RNAcentral lists this ribosomal RNA (450 nucleotides) under uncultured bacterium. RNAcentral describes it as "partial 16S ribosomal RNA". It matches the Rfam family "Bacterial small subunit ribosomal RNA", at positions 354 to 796 of the family's 1533-position model. The record is from RNAcentral.